GUGUCAGCCGCCGCGGUAAUACGGAGGGUGCAAGCGUUGUUCGGAAUCACUGGGCGUAAAGGGCGCGUAGGCGGUCUGGAAAGUCCGAUGUGAAAGCCCGGGGCUCAACUCCGGAAGUGCAUUGGAAACUGCCAGACUUGAGUUCGGGAGAGGAAGGCAGAAUUCCCGGUGUAGGGUUGAAAUCCGUAGAUAUCGGGAGGAAAACCGGUGGCGAAGGCGGCCUUCUGGAACGAAACUGACGCUGAGGCGCGAAAGCGUGGGGAGCAAACAGGAUUAGAAACCCCAGUAGUCC
Molecule: ribosomal RNA, 292 nt
Filed under: uncultured bacterium
Lineage: Bacteria
Description: partial 16S ribosomal RNA
Rfam family: Bacterial small subunit ribosomal RNA
Source: RNAcentral